UGCCUGAUUUGCUGGUAUCAAUUGGUGUACAGGGAUGUUGUUGUAGUGGUGGUUAGGACUAGUAACAGGGAUGUUGUAGUGUUUGUAGAGGUUAGGACUAGUAACAGGGAUGUUGUAGUGUUGGUAGAGGUUCGGACUAGUAACAGGGAGGUUGUCGUGGUGGUAGAGGUUAGGACUAGUAACAGGGAGGUUGUAGUGGAGGUUAGGACUAGUAACAGGGAUGUUGUAGUGUUUGUAGAGGUUAGGACUAGUAACAGGGAUGUUGUAGUGUUUGUGGAGGUUAGGACUAGUAACAGGGAUGUUGUAGUGUUGGUGGAGGUUUGGAGGAGUAACAGGGAUGUUGUAGUGUU
This is a long non-coding RNA of Oncorhynchus tshawytscha (Chinook salmon), 350 nucleotides long. Lineage: Eukaryota; Metazoa; Chordata; Actinopteri; Salmoniformes; Salmonidae. The record is from Ensembl.